This 855-nucleotide long non-coding RNA is filed under the name Salmo salar (Atlantic salmon). RNAcentral's name for it is "lncRNA (ENSSSAG00000084008.1)". Lineage: Eukaryota; Metazoa; Chordata; Actinopteri; Salmoniformes; Salmonidae. The record is from RNAcentral.
UAUCUGAGAGUCCUAGUGCGUCCCUCUGUGUCCUGGAGAGUAGAGUAGAGCAGCUCCCACCAGUUCAGCUUCAACACAAACCAUGUUCCCUGCAUCUCUGCUGCAGCUUUCUCCUGUAUUUACUAUGAAGAACUCACUCAGCCAGCCUCUAUGACUGUCCAGCCAGGUCAACCACUGACCAUCUCCUGUGAAUUGUCUUCCAUCCUGAAAAGAUGACAGGCAAACUACACCUCCUCCUGGUCUUGCUGGGCCUCUGCAGUGUGUACUCAAUAAUCUAGCAAUUUAUUGGAACAAAGUAUUUUACAUAUAGAGAUAAUUAUAAUAUCCAUUGAGUUAUAUCUCUCUGGUCACCCCCAAAGCCAAUUCUUCCUUUGGCCGUCUCUCCUUCCAGUUCUCUGCUGCCAAUGACUGGAACGAACUACAAAAAUCACUGAAACUGGAAACACUUAUCUCCCUCACUAGCUUUAAGCACCAGCUGUCAGAGCAGCUCACAGAUCACUGCACCUGUACAUAGCCCAUCUAUAAUUUAGCCCAAACUACUACCUCUUCCCCUACUGUAUUUAUUUAUUUAUUUAUUUAUUUUGCUCCUUUGCACCCCAUUAUUUCUAUUUCUACUUUGCACUUUCUUCCACUACAAAUCUACCAUUCCAGUGUUUUACUUGCUAUAUUGUAUUUACUUUGACACCAUGGCCUUUUUUGCCUUUACCUUAUCUCACCUCAUUUGCUCACAUUGUAUAUAUACUUAUUUUUCUACUGUAUUAUUGAUUUUAUGUUUGUUUUACUCCAUGUGUAACUCUGUGUUGUUGUAUGUGUCGAACUGCUUUGCUUUAUCUUGGCCAGGUCGCAAUUGUAAAU